UAGUGCGCCUGCGCAGUGCGUCUCCACAGUUUUUUUGGGCGGUGACUCGGAAGCCAAGAGGAAAGAAAGUGACUGGGAGGCGGAAGAAAGGAAGGCGCUUCCUGAAGAAAGCUGCAGAAAAAAAGAAAUUUGUAAGAUCAUGCCUUCACCUGAAGAGAAACUAUUCUCAGGCUGAUUCAAGAAGUCACUGGACAAGGAUUACACUCCUUUCAUAUGGAAGCCAGAUGUCAUUACGCAAGUAAAGCAAUACCCAUAGACCUGAUUUUGAAGAGAACUACUUCCUCACACAUCCUCCAAGAUGCUCCGUUUGUUCAAUGUUCACCAGGAUAACUAAGCUCUUCUGGUGUUUGACACCAUCCAGCCCCAGCAUUCUGUCAGGAGGCCGAUCAGAUGACUGGGAAACAUGGAACAGUAUUUGCCAUGUGCACUCAUGCCAAGCCCAGCAAUACAUCUGGCUCUGCCUCAAAUAUAUCCAUGUGUUACUGCAGACACAU
Molecule: long non-coding RNA, 494 nt
Organism: Manis javanica (Malayan pangolin)
Lineage: Eukaryota; Metazoa; Chordata; Mammalia; Pholidota; Manidae
Source: RefSeq, a predicted model, not a curated record